Molecule: regulatory RNA element, 46 nt
Organism: Ophiophagus hannah (king cobra)
Lineage: Eukaryota; Metazoa; Chordata; Lepidosauria; Squamata; Elapidae
Rfam family: Histone 3' UTR stem-loop
About the family: The mRNAs of metazoan histone genes lack a poly-A tail.
Source: Rfam
CUAACGGCCCUUUUAAGGGCCACCCACAAUUCCUGAAAAAGAGUUG